AUGAAAGGGUUUGAAUGCUACACAGAUGAUUUUGUAUAUAAUCCUGGUGGUUUAUGGAUCUGCCUCCGCCGCAGAACUCGGAGGCUAUCUAAACCCACAAGGUAUAGGUCACAUCCGGGAGCACGAGGGAACUUCCGCUGUGAAUCCAUGGUGGCGGCUCUAGGCCCUCGGCUUGACUCUAUGGCAGCAGCCUUAGGAAGAAAGGGAGGGAAGGCCAAAUACCAAGUUACAACAACAACAAGAAAUGUGGCUUUGGAUUGCAUUAAGAAGAAAGCAUUAUAUUUGUUCUUCUUGGCCAUUACAAGUCAGGGCUGGGAGCCAUGGAUAUGAGAUGCAGAUGGUUUGUCAAACCAUAUGUUUCUAUUGAGUUUCUAUAGGCACAGGUAAGGCAAACUGCAUCCUUCAUCAACAUUCUUCAGAUAGUCACCAGCAGCAAUGAAAAUGGGGAGAUAAUGCUGCAUUCCCCCUAUUAUUCUUUUAUAUGUUUUUUCAUUAAAAUUGCAAUUAAUAAGUAUGUUUUCUUUGCCUCCUAACCACCCACUCAAAAAAUAAAACAAAAC
This 560-nucleotide long non-coding RNA is filed under the name Monodelphis domestica (gray short-tailed opossum). RNAcentral describes it as "lncRNA (ENSMODG00000044230.1)". Lineage: Eukaryota; Metazoa; Chordata; Mammalia; Didelphimorphia; Didelphidae. The record is from RNAcentral.